GCAACAUGGGAACAGCUGUCUUUCCGCGUGGAUUUUGUUGCACUCUCUCCCAUCACUUCAGUCUUCAUUCUCCGACACUAUACUUCUUCUUUGACAUUUUUACCCCUGCCGUUUUUCUAGAAAUGUAUAUAAUGUAAUUGAAAAUAGAAUAUAGACAUGUUUUAUUGCUAUAGCUCGAGAUGCGUGAUUGGAUGAAUUAAGAAUAUUGACAAGGAAGGUGAAGUGUUGAAAUUAACUUUUCUAUCAAGGUUCAAUUUUAACCUUUUAUAAACAUUCUAUUAGGGAACAAGAUGACACACCAUUGGACAAC
Molecule: long non-coding RNA, 310 nt
Filed under: Brassica rapa (field mustard)
Lineage: Eukaryota; Viridiplantae; Streptophyta; Magnoliopsida; Brassicales; Brassicaceae
Description: long non-coding RNA (BRAP_LNC000762)
Source: RNAcentral